Molecule: transfer RNA, 73 nt
Filed under: Poecilia formosa (Amazon molly)
Lineage: Eukaryota; Metazoa; Chordata; Actinopteri; Cyprinodontiformes; Poeciliidae
Rfam family: tRNA
About the family: Transfer RNA (tRNA) molecules are approximately 80 nucleotides in length. Their secondary structure includes four short double-helical elements and three loops (D, anti-codon, and T loops).
Source: Rfam by way of RNAcentral
GCCUGGGUAGCUCAGCUGGUAGCGCAUCAGAUUUUUAAUCAGACUGUUGAGGGUUCAAGUCCCUGUUCAGGCA